UACGAAGGGGGCUAGCGUUGCUCGGAAUCACUGGGCGUAAAGCGCACGUAGGCGGCUUCUUAAGUCAGGGGUGAAAUCCUGGAGCUCAACUCCAGAACUGCCUUUGAUACUGAGGAGCUUGAGUCCGGGAGAGGUGGGUGGAACUGCGAGUGUAGAGGUGAAAUUCGUAGAUAUUCGCAAGAACACCAGUGGCGAAGGCGGCUCACUGGCCCGGUACUGACGCUGAGGUGCGAAAGCGUGGGGAGCAAACAGG
This 253-nucleotide ribosomal RNA is filed under the name uncultured bacterium. RNAcentral describes it as "partial 16S ribosomal RNA". It matches the Rfam family "Bacterial small subunit ribosomal RNA", at positions 524 to 776 of the family's 1533-position model. The record is from RNAcentral.